Molecule: ribosomal RNA, 371 nt
Filed under: uncultured bacterium
Lineage: Bacteria
Description: bacterial SSU rRNA
Rfam family: Bacterial small subunit ribosomal RNA
Source: RNAcentral
GGAGGGGGCAAGCGUUAUUCGGAAUUAUUGGGCGUAAAGGGCGCGUAGGUGGCCUGGUAAGUCAAAGGUGAAAUCCCUCGGCUCAACCGAGGAAUUGCCCUUGAAACUGCCGGGCUUGAGGCCGGGAGGGGGUAGCGGAAUUCCCAGUGUAGCGGUGAAAUGCGUAGAUACUGGGAGGAACACCGGUGGCGAAGGCGGCUACCUGGACCGGUUCUGACACUGAUGCGCGAAAGCGUGGGUAGCAAACAGGAUUAGAUACCCUGGUAGUCCACGCUGUAAACGAUGGGUGCUCGGUGUCGCGGGUAUCGACCCCUGCGGUGCCUUAGCUAACGCGUUAAGCACCCCGCCUGGGGAGUACGGUCGCAAGGCUG